GACGAACGCUGGCGGCGUGCUUAACACAUGCAAGUCGAACGGAAAGGCCCUGCUUUUGUGGGGUGCUCGAGUGGCGAACGGGUGAGUAACACGUGAGUAACCUGCCCUUGACUUUGGGAUAACUUCAGGAAACUGGGGCUAAUACCGGAUAGGAGCUCCUGCUGCAUGGUGGGGGUUGGAAAGUUUCGGCGGUUGGGGAUGGACUCGCGGCUUAUCAGCUUGUUGGUGGGGUAGUGGCUUACCAAGGCUUUGACGGGUAGCCGGCCUGAGAGGGUGAACGGCCACAUGGGGACUGAGAUACGGACCAGACGCCUACGGGAGGCAGCAGUGGGGAAUAUUGCAGAAUGGGGGGAAGCCUGAUGCAGCAACGCCGCGUGCGGGAUGAUGGCCUUCGGGGUGUAAACAGCUUUCGCCUGUGACGAAGAGUGAGUGACGGUAAUGGGUAAAGAAGCACCGGCUAACUACGUG
This 468-nucleotide ribosomal RNA is filed under the name uncultured bacterium. Its description in RNAcentral is "partial 16S ribosomal RNA". It matches the Rfam family "Bacterial small subunit ribosomal RNA", at positions 28 to 507 of the family's 1533-position model. The record is from RNAcentral.